Molecule: non-coding RNA, 65 nt
Filed under: Vogesella sp. LIG4
Lineage: Bacteria; Pseudomonadati; Pseudomonadota; Betaproteobacteria; Neisseriales; Chromobacteriaceae
Also listed under: 1 other name
Description: SAH (S-adenosyl-L-homocysteine) riboswitch aptamer
Rfam family: SAH (S-adenosyl-L-homocysteine) riboswitch aptamer
Source: Rfam by way of RNAcentral
GCUUCCGGGGAGCGCUGCGAGGCUAGUCCCCAGGCCCGGAACCUUCAAAACGGCGCUCACCUGCU